This 889-nucleotide ribosomal RNA is filed under the name uncultured crenarchaeote. RNAcentral describes it as "bacterial SSU rRNA". It matches the Rfam family "Archaeal small subunit ribosomal RNA", at positions 37 to 902 of the family's 1478-position model. Lineage: Archaea; Thermoproteati; Thermoproteota. The record is from RNAcentral.
GGUGAGACUAAGCCAUGCGAGUUGAGCGCUUCCAAGCCAUGAAGGAGGCGCAGCGCACAGCUCAGUAGCACGUGGCUAACCUGCCCUUGGGACAGAGACACCCCCGGGAAACUGGGGCUAAUCCCUGAUAGGCGAAGAACCCUGGUAUGAGUCUUCACUCAAAAGGCGCUUAAGUCAUGCUCUUAGGCGCUGCCCAAGGAUGGGGCCGCGGCCGAUCAGGUUGUUGGUGGGGUAAUGGCCCACCAAACCUAUAACCGGUACGGGCCCUGAAAGGGGUGGCCCGGAGAUGGGAACUGAGACAAGGUCCCAGGCCCUACGGGGCGCAGCAGGCGCGAAAACUUCACAAUGUGCGAAAGCAUGAUGAGGUUAUCCCGAGUGCCUUCCGUAAGGGAGGCUUUUUCCCAGUGUAAGGAGCUGGGCGAAUAAAGGGGGGGCAAGUCUGGUGUCAGCCGCCGCGGUAAUACCAGCCCCCUAAGUGAUAGGGACGAUUAUUUAGCCUAAAGCGUCCGUAGCCGGCUUAGCAAGUCUUUCGUUAAAUCUGACGACUUAAUCGCCAGACUGCGGAAGAUACUGCUACGCUAGAGGGCGGGAGAGGUUGACGGUAGUCCCUGGGUAGGGGUGAAAUCCUAUAAUCCUGGGAGGACCACCAAUGGCGAAGGCAGUCAACUAGAACGCGCCUGACGGUGAUGGACGAAAGCUGGGGGAGCAAACCGGAUUAGACACCCGGUUAGUCCCAGCUGUAAACGAUGCGGGCUAGGUGUUGGGGUAGCCACGUGCUGCUCCAGUGCCGCAGAGAAGUCGUUAAGCCCGCCGCUUGGGAAGUACGGCCGCAAGGCUGAAACUUAAAGGAAUUGGCGGGGGAGCACCACCAGGCGUGAAGCUUGCGGUU